RNAcentral lists this microRNA (22 nucleotides) under Mus musculus (house mouse). Its description in RNAcentral is "mmu-miR-7650-5p". Lineage: Eukaryota; Metazoa; Chordata; Mammalia; Rodentia; Muridae. The record is from miRBase by way of RNAcentral.
AAUCCUCUUGCAACCCAGAACU